AGUGGAAUUUUAAAGACUGUCAUGACAAAGCUGAUGUUUGAAGAGGAGAACAGCUGGUUCUGGAGGACUCCUCUUCCAGAGCAAGAACAAGGAUUUCUUUUCUUUGCCUGGAGAAGAUGCUUUCUAUCCAUGAUGACAGCCUGAAGCUACAUAGCUGUAAGAAAGGCCAGGUUUUGACUCUUCCAUUUACCAAUGACAAGAGGAACUGUCUGUGAUUUGAUGGUAUUUUCUGAUGCUCACCAUGAGAUGUCCUAUGCUCUGGCUACAGGAAGACAUAAAUAAGUGCAGUAAUUGCAGAUCAGUUACUAAAGAAGUUGGUGUUGAGGCUUCUGAUCCACACAACAUGUUUUUUGAAGAUUUUUCUUCAGAAUGAAUUCAGGUCUCCUGAACUAAAUGUCUACAUCCCAGGCAUGGUGUGUAGCUGUCCCAGGAAGCAGCUAUUGGUUCAAAUCCUUAUGGUUAACACUUGAACAUGAAAU
Camarhynchus parvulus is the source of this 479-nucleotide long non-coding RNA. RefSeq lists it as uncharacterized. The record is from RefSeq and is a predicted model, not a curated record. The transcript has 3 exons. NCBI's taxonomy places the organism in Eukaryota, Metazoa, Chordata, Aves, Passeriformes, Thraupidae.